Leptonychotes weddellii (Weddell seal) is the source of this 663-nucleotide non-coding RNA. NCBI's taxonomy places the organism in Eukaryota, Metazoa, Chordata, Mammalia, Carnivora, Phocidae. The record is from RefSeq and is a predicted model, not a curated record.
UUGGGGGAAAUAAUGUAGAGACAAGAAAGGGCCAGGCUAGGCAUGAGACUACUGAGUGGACAGAGCACGUAGGAACCACUCCAAAAAGACCACCGCUUCCGGAACCGGGACUGCAGACCCAGACCACAAGACCAACCUUCUACUUUUGCAGACAAGGAAGCUGAGUCCCAGAGAAGGAAAGCAAUUUGCUUAAAUUCACACAGCCGAGCUAGUGGCAACACCAAGAUCCAUCUGCUCCCCGGCCCCCCAAAGCACUGGAGCACCUGUGGCCAGCCCCCCAGGGACCGGAUGAAAUUGCUGUCUCCCAGACUCCAAGCCCAGCUCCUCCUGAAUCAGAAGCCCUGAGGAUAGUCCAGGAAUCUGCAUACUCAACAGCACUCCAGGUGACUCUCAGAUCACUCCAUGCUGCCUUUGGGGAAGACAGGCUGGAUCCUCCUCUCUUCCUGGGACUGGGAAUUUCCUUCUUGAACCUUGACUAAGCCCAUCUGGGAAGUCAGCAGGGAGGGAAAGCCUGGGUUCACUGCCCGCGCCCCGGCAAGCGCAGGCAAGUGCAGCCCUUCCCUCUCCUGGGCUCCAGCCCCUGGGCCCUGGGCCUGAGACCAGGGGGCCCCAGGGGGAGGAGUUCAGUGCUCCUUCCCCCCCCUCGCCGCCCCCCCCCAGUGC